Molecule: ribosomal RNA, 534 nt
Filed under: fungal sp. SNB-GTC3004
Lineage: Eukaryota; Fungi
Description: LSU rRNA
Source: RNAcentral
CCUCCGUAGGUGAACCUGCGGAGGGAUCAUUAAAAGAGUUCUAUAACUCCCAAACCCAUGUGAACAUACCUAACGUUGCCUCGGCAGGUCGCGCCUACCUCGUAGUCUUACCCUGUAAGACUUACCCGGGAGGUGCGGGUAAGCCUGCCGGCGGCCCACCAAACUCUGUUUGAUAUUGAAUUCUGAACCUAUAACUAAAUAAGUUAAAACUUUCAACAACGGAUCUCUUGGUUCUGGCAUCGAUGAAGAACGCAGCGAAAUGCGAUAAGUAAUGUGAAUUGCAGAAUUCAGUGAAUCAUCGAAUCUUUGAACGCAUAUUGCGCCCAUUAGUAUUCUAGUGGGCAGGACCGUUCGAGCGUCAUUUCGACCCUUAAGCCUUAGUUGCUUAGUGUUGGGAGCCUACGGCAACGUAGCUCCUCAAAGUUAGUGGCGGAGUUGGUUCACACUCUAGACGUAGUAAUUUUUUAUCUCNCCUAUUAGUUGGACUGAUCCCCUGCCGUAAAACCCCAACUUCUUCAAGGCUUCCUCRAAUCU